RNAcentral lists this unclassified non-coding RNA (1195 nucleotides) under Hevea brasiliensis (rubber tree). The record is from RNAcentral. Lineage: Eukaryota; Viridiplantae; Streptophyta; Magnoliopsida; Malpighiales; Euphorbiaceae.
CAUUAAUGAGGACUCUCAGUUAAUGAAUUAAAGUCUCAUCAUCGACAUAAUCAAUUGUCAUUCUUUUCCUAUGCUGGUUUAAUUUAAGUUUUUUAAUAAAUUUAUAACUUGGUCACCUAUGGAGAUGUUGCUUACGGAAUUUUGUCUACCUAUGAAUCUAACAACUUCGAAUUUAAGGAAUGACUCUCCCUUAAUUAGAAUAUGGGAAUAAACCCAAGGAAAGACUCUCCCUUGUGUUUAAAGAAAUAAAUAAAAUUUUAAGGAAGUUAAGGGUUCUAAGGAGGACUCUUCUUUGGAUCCCGAUUAUAAAAAGCUUGACGUAAAAUUUUGAGGUUCGUGGAAGAACUCUCCCAUGAACGUAUAAUAUUGGAAUGCAUUUAGAAAGAUAUUAUAAAAAUUUUAAGGAAGGACUCUCCCUUGAACAUAAAGCAUAUACUUGGUAAAAUGCUUAAUUAAGGGUUAAGGAAAAACUUUCCCAGAACCUUAAAAGAAAAAUUGCUUGUUUCAUAAAUAUAAAAGGGGAGGGGUUCAAAGAAAGACUCUCUCCCGAACUCCAUAUCUUACGAAAUUGUUGAAAGGUUAAAGACUUCGUGAAAUAGAUUUGCCAAUUUUCAAGAUGACUAUCAUUUAGAGGAAGCAAGAAAAAUGUUAAAAGUAUCAAAGUAGCAAUUUCAUCAAACAGGGCAGCAUUGUUUCAAAACUCCUGUCAUUAUUUCCGAACUAUAAAAUGAUAGAAAUGCACUAUUUCUUAUUAUUACCUCUAAAUAUAAUUGUGAAUGACUACAUAUACAUUAUUUCCGAUCUCCCUUUAUACUAGAGAAAUAUAAAUGCCAUGAAGACCAUUUCUGAACUACCAGAUUUGCUAACACCACACAAUUUCCGAACUCAUCUCAUUGUACCCGAUCCCCUAUUAUUAUUUCUGAUCUCCUAUUAUUGUGUCCGAACUCUCUCCAUACUCCCAUUAUUAUAUCCGAACUCUUUAUUCCUAUUAGUUUAUCCGAACCAUAAUCAUUACUUCUAAACUACUUCAGAACAGGAAAUGUGAUACUUUUCAAUAUAAAACGAAGGCAAAAAUAAUAACGUUUCUACAGUACUGCAACAAAAUUAAAACAGUAAUAUUUGCAAGACACGCGUAGGUCGAUCUAAGCCUUAUUUCCCUAAAAGUUUAGUAUGACUAAGUAUUUAUAGAAUUCGG